UGUUACUCUCAAAAAGCCUGUAUUUAGCCUGAUCCCGUCUGAUCUCGGAAGCUAAGCAGGGUUGAGCCUGGUUAGUACUUGGAUGGGAGACCACCUAGGAAGACCAGGCGCUGUAGGCG
Molecule: ribosomal RNA, 119 nt
Filed under: Pteropus alecto (black flying fox)
Lineage: Eukaryota; Metazoa; Chordata; Mammalia; Chiroptera; Pteropodidae
Source: RNAcentral